Molecule: ribosomal RNA, 512 nt
Filed under: uncultured bacterium
Lineage: Bacteria
Description: bacterial SSU rRNA
Rfam family: Bacterial small subunit ribosomal RNA
Source: RNAcentral
CGUGCCUAAUACAUGCAAGUCGAACGCAUUGUGGUUGAAAUGAUAUGAAGAACUUGUUCAGAUUUGAUUUUCAACAUUGCAAUGAGUGGCGAACGGGUGAGUAACACGUGGGAAACCUACCUCUUAGCAGGGGAUAACAUUUAGGAAACAAAUGCUAAUACCGUAUAAUAAUUAAAACCGCAUGGUUUUAGUUUAAAAGAUGGUCUUGCUAUCACUAAGAGAUGGUCCCGCGGUGUAUUAGUUAGUUGGUGAGGUAAUGGCUCACCAAGACAAUGAUACAUAGCCGAGUUGAGAGACUGACCGGCCACAAUGGGACUGAGACACGGCCCAUACUCCUACGGGAGGCAGCAGUAGGGAAUCUUCCACAAUGGACGAAAGUCUGAUGGAGCAACGCCGCGUGUGUGAUGAAGGGUUUCGGCUCGUAAAAACACUGUUGUAAGAGAAGAAUGACAUUGAGAGUAACUGUUCAAUGUGUGACGGUAUCUUACCAGAAAGGAACGGCUAAAUACGUG